RNAcentral lists this ribosomal RNA (726 nucleotides) under uncultured eukaryote. RNAcentral's name for it is "SSU rRNA". It matches the Rfam family "Eukaryotic small subunit ribosomal RNA", at positions 671 to 1426 of the family's 1831-position model. The record is from RNAcentral.
GGUGUGUACUGGUCUUGAUGGAAGCUUACCUCUUGGUGGGUCGGCAUGCCCUUCGUUGGGUGUGUCGAUUAACCAGGACUUUUACUUUGAGAAAAUUAGAGUGUUCAAAGCAGGCUUUCGCCCGAAUACAUUUAGCAUGGAUAUAGAAUUAGGACGCGCCGUCUUUAUUUUGUUGUUUCUAAUCGCGUAAUGAUAUAGGGAUAGUCGGGGGCAUUCGUAUUGCUUGGUCAGAGGUGAAAUUCUUGGAUUCUAGCAAGACGAACUACUGCGAAAGCAUUUGCCAAGGAUGUUUUCAUUGAUCAAGAACGAAGGUUAGGGGAUCGAAAACGAUCAGAUACCGUUGUAGUCUUAACAGUAAACUAUGCCGACUAGGGAUCGGACAAGCACAAUCUAUGACUUGUUCGGCACCUGAAGAGAAAUCUUUAAGUCUAGGUUCGGGGGGGAGUAUGGUCGCAAGGCUGAAACUUAAAGGAAUUGACGGAAGGGCACCACCAGGUGUGGAGCCUGCGGCUUAAUUUGACUCAACACGGGGAAACUCACCAGGUCCAGACACAAUAAGGAUUGACAGAUUGAUAGCUCUUUCUUGAUCUUGUGGUUGGUGGUGCAUGGCCGUUCUUAGUUGGUGGAGUGAUUUGUCUGGUUAAUUCCGAUAACGAACGAGACCUUAACCUGCUAAAUAGACCCGGGGCCUUAGGGAACCGGCUGUCUUCUUAGAGGGACUGUAGG